UCAGUUUGAAACUUCAAAUGCGAUAUAAUUUUGGCUUGGACCAUCUAAGCUGACUGACAUCAACUUGCUAUAAUUUCUGUUUACAUUACAUCGCAAUUCGAUGACACUCUGGCUCAGACACCAGAAUGUUUUGACGAUUUUUAGCAUUCGUUUAGGAUUUUUAAACAACCUGGUCUCUUUUAAAAUACUUUAAAUUUGUUCUUAC
Paramuricea clavata is the source of this 205-nucleotide non-coding RNA. NCBI's taxonomy places the organism in Eukaryota, Metazoa, Cnidaria, Anthozoa, Malacalcyonacea, Plexauridae. The record is from the annotation of a GenBank genome assembly.